RNAcentral lists this ribosomal RNA (486 nucleotides) under uncultured bacterium. Its description in RNAcentral is "partial 16S ribosomal RNA". It matches the Rfam family "Bacterial small subunit ribosomal RNA", at positions 30 to 507 of the family's 1533-position model. The record is from RNAcentral.
AUUGAACGCUGGCGGCAUGCCUUACACAUGCAAGUCGAACGGCAGCACGGGUGCUUGCACCUGGCUGCGAGUGGCGAACGGGUGAGUAAUACAUCGGAACAUGUCCUGUAGUGGGGGAUAGCCCGGCGAAAGCCGGAUUAAUACCGCAUACGAUCUACGGAUGAAAGCGGGGGUCCGUCGGGCCUCGCGCUAUAGGGUUGGCCGAUGGCUGAUUAGCUAGUUGGUGGGGUAAAGGCCUACCAAGGCGACGAUCAGUAGCUGGUCUGAGAGGACGACCAGCCACACUGGGACUGAGACACGGCCCAGACUCCUACGGGAGGCAGCAGUGGGGAAUUUUGGACAAUGGGCGAAAGCCUGAUCCAGCAAUGCCGCGUGUGUGAAGAAGGCCUUCGGGUUGUAAAGCACUUUUGUCCGGAAAGAAAUCCUUGGCCCUAAUACGGUCGGGGGAUGACGGUACCGGAAGAAUAAGCACCGGCUAACUACGUG